UUCUUUGAAUGGUGUUUUUUUCUUCAUCCUCUUUCUCCUGUUUUGUUUGUAAUAAUUUACAUGAGUUGCCUGGUUUGAAGUAUAUUAGUUCCCUCCUCAUCUGGAGUUCUUUCUCAAAAGGUUAGCUGUCUCCCGUGGUUAUCAGACCAGGAUCCAACCAUGCUGCUAUUUAAAUCCCCUCCAGCAUUUAGAGCAGUUCUGUGUUUGUAAGAAAAGAUAUGCUUAGCUGUUGUGACUGCAGUCAGAAUUAUCUAUUUUAACUGAGGACAAAAUUUUUACUCGAAUUUCAGCUGCAGAAUGUUUACUGCAGCAGCUGUUAGGAUUCCCCUUUUUUAAAGGCAUACUGUGGAACUUGCACAAGUUUAUGGAGUAGGUGUUUGAGGGUUGUUUGGAGCAGCUUUUUUACUAGCUGCUGCUUACAAAAGUUUUUAACCACAGACAAGUAUGUCUCUUUGUUUGCAUAGUGGUUUUUACUGAUGGAGAGAACUGGGAUAAGUUGAACUACAAAGGUCAUGGAUCCGUGUACUGUGGCACCAGUAAUCUUGCUUGUGGAACCCUGUAUUUAAUGUUCCGUGUCCGUGACAGUUUCUCUUCGUUUAUGUUCUCUGUUCUCAUAAGAAAUGCUGUGCUAACAACUUCUGCUUCCCAUUUGAAAGUACAGAUGCCAGUUUCACUAACAAGUCUGCUUUUGGAAUUCUUUUCUACUAGGCAGCUGCCUCUGAAACUGUUGAUGUGGGGUUUGGUUGUUGGUUUUGUUUUCAUGUUUGUUCUUUUUUGUUGUUUGGUUUGUGCUUUGGGGUUUAUUUUAAGCAUGCUGGACUGAGGGGUUGGUAGAGGGAAGCAUGAGAUAGGAUCACAGGUAAAAUCUAGGAAAUUCUGAUAAACAGUCUCACCAGUUGUCCUCUCAUUAACAGGCCCCUUCCUCUGCACCCUUGCAGAGUCACAGGGCCACUACUCUGUUGUACGUGGUGUGAAACAGAACUCAUACCCUCCAUACCUCAAGAAGGCUCGAAGAUCUGUGGCCUCUUUGUCCAUUCUUGAGUGUUGGUUAUUCACAUGCUCUGGAUAUUUAAUUGAUUUUGCACCUCUGACUAUUGCAAGCAUAAAGCUGUUAUUUCUGGUUGCACUGUACUAAGGAGUUCAGUAGAAAAGUUCCAUUCCAGCACCACUAAAAGCAAAUAGCAGACAUGACUUGAAACUGCCUCAACUAAACAGCUCAGCAGCACCUGUCAAAACAUAUUGUGCAGGCACCUCAUGAAUGCUGGAUGACUAAGCCACGGAAAAGCAGUUGCUGAAGCAGUGGGCCUCCAUGGGAAGACUUAUGCUUAUUUAAAAAAAAAUAAAUUGUUCAACUUCCUUCUACCUUUGGAGCACUCCGUGACAGAGUAUGCACACAGCUUUGUUUUGGAUGCCUUGUAUUUUACAAUUGCUCUUCCACUCUUACUACAACUCAGUAACACUUGGCUGCAGCUAUUGGGAGCUGAUGAAGGAACACACUUAUGGGAGUAUUUACUGUAUGUCUGAGGACUAUUUAGUGAGUUACUGUCAUUUCUCUGUCAUGAAUCAUGACAUGAAGCUAAUGCCCUUACUCGCUACCUCUGGAAGAAGCCUCUCCCUACCAAUUGCCCCAGUACUUCCCAUGCACUGAAGAUGGAAUACAUAAGAGAGCACAGGAUCAGAAAGUUUUUAUUUUGAUUAAAAUCAAGAGUGGGGUUUGUUCUGCAGCAAAAUGGUAGCUGGUUCAGAGGACUUGAUAGAAGAAAGUCUCUACCACCUUACUUCCCCUGCAUAGUUAGAUCCCAUGGGCAAUCCUGAGUUUACCAGUCAUAGCUUACACUAUUACUCUAUUUCAAACAAGACACAGUGCAAGAGAACAAAGAGGAUAGUCCUGCUUCGUUGGUAUCCCUGCUCUAGUUUCAGGGAUAUUUAUUUAUUUAUUUAUCUAUCUAUCCAAGACAGAUGUUAAAGAUGCAUAACAUGAUAUGUUGGUUAAAUAUACAUAACACUAUCAGAACUCCCCUGGCUGAGAAGCACUGCAGCAGCUGUAUGGAAUGCAAGUUACAUGAUGAAAGCUUUUUGGAAAGGGGGGAUUGAAGGAAUGAAAACCCUAAGGAAAAUCAUUUCAGAGGUAGAAAAAAGUGCCAUUGUGACAGACUGAAUCUGAGACUUGGACCAAAUUCCCUCAGUACCAAGCUCAGAACAGCUAGGGGGAUUUCUCAUAACCAGCACAUUAGCAAUUCUUUUGACUGUUGAGAGGGGCACAGAAAAUUGUUGCUAACCUAUAAGGAUAAUUCAGCUUGACUUUGUUAAACAAAGGUGUUGCUUUCCUCUUAAAUUCUCUGGUACCUUUUAAAUGCAAAGCAAUGAGGUUUUUUGUUCCGUUGGUGGUUUCUUUUGAAAAAGCAAUGCUCUCUUUUAACUGCAGGGUUCUCUACCCCUGAGUGCUGUUAAAUUUCAAGGUACUGUAAGAAUGAAAGUGCUUUCCACUUGGCAUCAAUUAAAUGUCCUGCAAUGCAACUGCCCUCCCCACAGUACCAAGCCCUGUGUCACAGACAGAACUGUGCUAUGUUUUAAGUUGCAUAGCACCUUACUGCGAUUUAGGCUGCUCUUCCCAUCUCGUUUCAAGGAUGAACAAAAAUGCAAAUUAACUUAGGGAGUAAGUUCACAAGCGAUUUUGAAAGUAUGGCUGUGUGCAUUUCUUUGUUCAGUUCUAGUUUCUUUAUGAACAGUUAUUCUCUGUUCCUUUCUAAAGGGGCUCAAAAGCGAAAGCUCUUUUGGUCAAUAGGUGGUGAGACUCCUUACGUAAAUUUAUUAUUUGAAAUACAUUUAUAACAUUUACAUAUAGCUACUUAUCUGCUAGAUGUUAGAAAAUCAGUGUCCAUUCCUGAGCCUUUGGGUCUUAAGCUAUUUUGGAUAGAGUCAGCGUAGGUGAUCACAGGCAGUCCAUGAUAUUUCAGCAUCUCCUGCCCAAAGCAUUUCAGUUCUUCAUGAGCUAAAUCACAGAGACUGUGUGUUGGAAUCCCUUUAUAUAACACUUCGCAGACAAGAGUCCUUAGCAGCCCACAGAAAUAUUUUGUCCUGAUCUACAGAUGAGGAACAAGAAAAACAAAAACCAGCUUUACUGGUGGCGUAUGUGGAGACAUUUUGGAGAUGAUUCCAGAAACACACCAUGGAAAUUGUCCCAAAUGUCAGAGAUCAUCUUGUCUCCUCAAAAAUCUGAGCAUCAUGGGGCUUGACCAAGCAUGAAUCAUUUCUUGACCAAGCAUGAAUCUUGAGUACAUCCUCUGCAAAGGUCAGUACCAUGUGGCUUGUAGCACUGAGCUCUCUGUCCCUCAGCCUUUUUAACUAAGUACCCAGACGGGAAAAAUCUCUCUGUGGAAAACUGCAAUUGCAGAUAGUGUAAUUAUAGGGGGUUGUUAGAAGGGGAAACAAUCCUGUCUGCCUCCCAAACCUGCAUGAGAUGCACGUACUAACUAACUUCACUAGCUUCUUACUGCCAAAAAGGUGGCCAAAGUCUGUCCUACUGCAGCUGGCAUUCAGAUGUUAUUUAAGUAACUAUUUGCAAACCUGCAGCUGACCAGCAGAAUGCAUCUUCCAUAGCUAUCAUAUUUGUCCUUGUUACCAUAUUAAUUAAAUCCCAUAAACCUCCCUCUCUUAAUUGAGGAAUACAGCCACAUAUGAAGAGUUUAAAGAAAGUCAAAACAAAUCAUUCUGUAUAAUAAGCUGGACACCUUCAAAAGCCUGCUAGUCAGUUUUAGGAGCCUCAUUACAGGGUAAUUAGUUGUGUCUGGAUAGUCCUCAGAAGCAAAUUAACAGUGUUUUAAAAAGCAGUGCAUAAGACUUGAAUUCAUCCCUUUUGGCAGCUGCAUAAUCAUCAUCUAGGAUUGCCAUAUAAUUCUUUUCUUGCACCUAAAAUAUGUUCUCAUGACUGGCAGCCACUGAGCCCAUGUUAAAACACAUUUGCAUACAUAUGAACAUGACCAAGAGAAACUGAGUAUUUAUACAUCAGCCACUCUGUGCAGCUUGGAUGGUGGGGUUUAGUUUGUUGUGGUGCUAUUCUGUUUUUAAAAGAACAAAGCUUGUGAUACUGUGCACCACGGGAAAGGCACGAAAGGCAUAAGCAAGCUGAAUUGAAUGUGUGGCGGUUCUGCUCCUGUCUGAAAGCAAAUAACUAUACUGAAAUAUAAUUAGGAUAAAUCAAAUAUGCACCACAAUUACAUGGCACAUGGUAAGCAGACUCCAAAAGUGAGUGGUGUAUUUUUACAUCCUCACAUUUCCUGUAUUCCCAAAGCAGAUUCUUUCCUUAUUAUUGCAUUUUUGAGAUGUAAUUAGGUGGUCUCAAAAUAUCUUUUUUCUGUAACAACCCUUUUUUGAAAGUCAAGUCUCUCUCUUUACUAACUGACUUGCAGAGGAAGUGCACAGUAACACCAUAAAAAAACAGUAAAGAGACUUAAUAUUCCCUGUCUGAUAGGUAAGGAAGCAGAAGGAGGGGGAGAGUGUACAAUGAAGUUAAAUUCUAGUACUAUUCAUUACUACUGUAACUUGGUGCUAUGUCUUGAGUAAUACACAUAAUCCAUUUUGUCUCUUAAAAUAUAUUAGCAUUAGAAAAGGAAACAUCUAAUCACUUUAUACCACCCCCUCAUGCACAGACAGAAAACAAAAUUUGCCUUUUUUGCUCAAUACUGGUACCAAAACAAAAGCAAGGUACCAGAGUGGCAGCCUAUGGUUUUGGCCAUCCUGUUCUCUUCAUCCUGUGCAGGGGCCUCACCUGCAUAGUGAUAUAGCAGCGCAUUCUGAAAAGCUGGAAGAUGUGAAGAAUCACUUGAAAGAAAACCAGCCAGUGACUGAAGUGUUACAGAUGCUACAGGCAACGACCACAGGGUCAUUUUUUAUCUUCAUGACCUGAUUUUUCAGUCCCAGAAGUCCUAUGCAGAAAUUCCCUUUUCCAUCUAUAGAAACAAAGCAACCACUUGACAACACAAGCUGUCAAUCCCAAUGGAGGAGUGGGGUUUCUCAAGCAUUAUUUGAUGAAUUUGUCACAGCUGGGUGUUCUUGCAGAUCAAACUUCAGCUGGUUUAAGGUGCAGUUACACAGCUCAGGCACCUGCAGUACACAGCAGAUGCCCCUGUCCUGGGGCC
Strigops habroptila (Kakapo) is the source of this 5138-nucleotide long non-coding RNA. RefSeq lists it as uncharacterized. NCBI's taxonomy places the organism in Eukaryota, Metazoa, Chordata, Aves, Psittaciformes, Psittacidae. The transcript has 3 exons. The record is from RefSeq and is a predicted model, not a curated record.